GUCAGGAUGGCCGAGUGGUCUAAGGCGCCAGACUCAAGGUGACAAGCCUUACCUACGGGUGUUCUGGUCUCCGAAUGGAGGCGUGGGUUCGAAUCCCACUUCUGACA
Molecule: transfer RNA, 107 nt
Filed under: Mus musculus (house mouse)
Lineage: Eukaryota; Metazoa; Chordata; Mammalia; Rodentia; Muridae
Rfam family: tRNA
About the family: Transfer RNA (tRNA) molecules are approximately 80 nucleotides in length.
Source: Rfam by way of RNAcentral